UACGAAGGGGCUAGCGUUGCUCGGAAUUACUGGGCGUAAAGCGCACGUAGGCGGCUUUCUAAGUCGGGGGUGAAAUCCUGGAGCUCAACUCCAGAACUGCCUUCGAUACUGGAGAGCUCGAGUCCGGGAGAGGUGAGUGGAACUGCGAGUGUAGAGGUGAAAUUCGUAGAUAUUCGCAAAGAACACCAGUGGCGAAGGCGGCUCACUGGCCCGGUACUGACGCUGAGGUGCG
RNAcentral lists this ribosomal RNA (232 nucleotides) under uncultured bacterium. Its description in RNAcentral is "partial 16S ribosomal RNA". It matches the Rfam family "Bacterial small subunit ribosomal RNA", at positions 524 to 755 of the family's 1533-position model. The record is from RNAcentral.